Molecule: transfer RNA, 73 nt
Filed under: Paramuricea clavata
Lineage: Eukaryota; Metazoa; Cnidaria; Anthozoa; Malacalcyonacea; Plexauridae
Rfam family: tRNA
About the family: Transfer RNA (tRNA) molecules are approximately 80 nucleotides in length. Their secondary structure includes four short double-helical elements and three loops (D, anti-codon, and T loops).
Source: Rfam by way of RNAcentral
GACCGCGUAGCUCAGUUGGCAGAGCAAUGGGCUAGUAUUCCAAAGGUAGUAGGUUCGAUUCCCACCGUGGCCG